CCCGACCUGAGGGCGUCUGGGGUGAUAGGCUUUAAAAGGUCCGCAGCGGGAGGUGAAAGAGGUGUUUAGGAUGACGAGAAAAACGUAUAAAGUAUUAUUUCACCUAACAGCGGGCAGGGAAAGACCUCACCUGUUACAGGAGGGCCUCCACCAGACAGCUGCUGCCCACUUCAGUGGCCUCCAGAGUGGAGCAGUCAAGAUGACCUGUGGAGUGCUGGAAGAACAUUCUAGAGCCUGUAUCCCUACUUAUUUUUUCUUUUUACAUCUGUUAUGUGUUUUAUAAUUUAUGUAAGAUUGACAUACCAUGCACAUGACCUUAAAAGGAAAUACACGAGGGUGUGCCCAAGCAUGUAAGCU
Non-coding RNA from Sus scrofa (pig), 357 nucleotides. The record is from RefSeq and is a predicted model, not a curated record. NCBI's taxonomy places the organism in Eukaryota, Metazoa, Chordata, Mammalia, Artiodactyla, Suidae.